RNAcentral lists this ribosomal RNA (491 nucleotides) under uncultured bacterium. Its description in RNAcentral is "partial 16S ribosomal RNA". It matches the Rfam family "Bacterial small subunit ribosomal RNA", at positions 28 to 507 of the family's 1533-position model. The record is from RNAcentral.
GAUGAACGCUGGCUACAGGCUUAACACAUGCAAGUCGAGGGGAAACGACGGGGAAGCUUGCUUCCCCGGGCGUCGACCGGCGCACGGGUGAGUAACGCGUAUCCAACCUGCCUCUGACUGAGGGAUUACCCGUCGAAAGUCGGCCUAAUACCUCAUGGCAUCGUCUGCGGGCAUCCAACGACGAUUAAAGAUUUCAUCGGUCAGAGAUGGGGAUGCGUCUGAUUAGCUUGUUGGCGGGGUAACGGCCCACCAAGGCGACGAUCAGUAGGGGUUCUGAGAGGAAGGUCCCCCACAUUGGAACUGAGACACGGUCCAAACUCCUACGGGAGGCAGCAGUGAGGAAUAUUGGUCAAUGGGCGAGAGCCUGAACCAGCCAAGUAGCGUGCAGGAUGACGGCCCUAUGGGUUGUAAACUGCUUUUAUGCGGGGAUAAAGUGAGGGACGUGUCCUUCAUUGCAGGUACCGCAUGAAUAAGGACCGGCUAAUUCCGUG